AUGUGCUUACUAUACUGUACAUGUUACAGAUUUCAUAUUUAUGACAGAUAUUUUGAUGUCACUUUUUGGAAUUUUACUUCCUUUAUUAUGAAACAUAGACUGUAUAUCAAAGAUGGACAUGGCCACCGCGAUAGCAUGUGUUGGUUUGUAGAUAACAAUCCUAGAGCUUUCACUUUCACAUUUUGGUCUUUUGAGUGUAAAGUGCAUCCAUUAUUCACUGUGAUAUUAAUUUGGAUGCCAGUUUUUGCUAAAAACAGGCUUAAACCAAAUGUACCAAUGUGUAAACAUAAAAAGGCUGUCCCCCUAAAACUCCUAGAGCUGGAAAAGAAAUGAUGAAAUUACAAUUAGGAGGCUAGCUUACUGCCAUUAACAACUUAACCAUGGGCUAAAGCACUGCACUAAAUAGACUUAAAGCUAGCAUUUAAGACCAUAAAUACAACAAUAAAGUGAGAAUUUUCCCAUUUCUUUUACAGUCGAAUUUCUUUUUGAAUCCAGAGGAGUUGCCCCCUGCUGUCAUUUAGAAAAAAUGCAGGUUUAAGGCUCCUCACCAGCUUCACUUUUCAUGUCCAUCUUUAACAUACAGUUUGUGGGUUUAAAAGGGCACUUUCACAGGUAUUUACGCCCCAGGUUUACUUCUGCUCACUCUGUAGAUAUAAGCAUUUCUAGGAAUCUCAAAAGGUUGAUUCUGUUCUGGAUGUAGCGCUUGCAGUGGGAGAAACAGGUUUCCCCAACCCUAUAAACAGGACAUUUGCACAAUAACUGUCACUUGAAAUGUGCUGUUUAUAACAUUGGGGAAACCUGCAGUCAGCUGAGACUGAAGACAUCACUCGGACGAGUGACGAAACAUUUCUCCCACUGAAAACGCUACGUCCAGAACAGAAUCAACCUGUUUUGGAUUUACUUACCUGGACGAUUGAGCAUGCAUCAAGACAUUUCUAAGAAUAGUUCACAUAUCAUUUGUCAUCGUAAAGAGAGAGGUGUUUGAGUUAAGCAGGUUGAUAGCUAUCUUAGCCAAUCACAGUGCCAGAUUCACCUGUUUCUCCCAAAACAGGUUGCUGAUGUCACCAGUCCUAUAUCUGGGAACUUUUACAGUGUGUAUGGAACGUAUGCUCAUUUCAUAAAGCUUUUUUUUUCAUUUCCCCAACAUUGUUUUAGUUUAAUCUAUAGUUUGGAGCAAAGGCAAUACUCUGCUACCGGGGUUGGCUCAUUGUUAUUUGCUCUGGGUGUGUUGAAGUGAUGCAUAGUGUAAGACUGAUUUAAUAUGCAGCCACAGAGACUUGCCAUGAAAUACAGCAAUUACUGAAAGCAAACUCAACUCUACUUUAAUGUGGCAUACAUAUGUACAAGAGAGAAAUAAUGCCAUUGCACGGGUUCAUUUGCCAAUUUUUGGGUUCACUGUGUCCCUUCCUCUCUGCUGAAUGGUGGGUGAUAUUGUAAGUGUAUUAAUGUUGUGUAUAUUGGUGUAAAUGUGGCAUGAAAACCAACCCCUCUUGUGUGCCUCAGGUGUAUAAAUUUAGGCGUUAUGUGAUCUCGAUGUCUGGCUGCUUAUUUGUGAGAAGUGUGAUGUAAUUUAUUAGUAUUAACAUUAUUUCUGUUCUUUUGUCUGAACGAAAGAUUUCUGUUAAUAAAGUAAAACCUUUUAUUAUACCUGUUGCAGUGCAUUCCAGUCUUUAUCAGUCAUCUGCUGAGCUCCACUGGAUCAGAUUUGAAGGGUUUUUUCUCCAUUUAUGGUCACUGAAAGAGAACGCUUGGCUGUUACUGUACUUUUAAAAGCCUUGUUUGAAAAACACAACUUUCAGAAUAUGUAGCGAUAAUCCCAAAAUCCUUUCAUCUUGGAUUAUUACCCUUUUUUAUUUCUCUUGGCAUGAUACUCAGGGUGUUAAAAGCUGACUGGCAACACGAGGCCAUGGAGAAAGAAACCUGCCGGCAUCCAGUGCUUCCUUUCAUCUGCUGCCCACUUCACGUCAGGUCCAGAAAUUAAUUGUGUUAAGAGAUGAUAUGAAACACACUCAGCUGUGAAUAUGUCACUGAGCACACACGAACGUGUUACGAAUUCUCAAACAACGCGAUCAUCAUUCAGGUAUUACUACUUUACGACCGAAUGUGGCUGCCAGACUCGAAAUAUUUUAUGCCCAGCUUUAAGGAGUAAAGCACUCGAGAAGAAGUGAACUGAGACGAUCAUAUUUUUGUGGCCAACCUUAAAUUCAAACUACAGUAUUUCUUUCCCCCUUUUGUUAAUCACUUUGAAGCACUAGGAUAAAGUGUAAACAGAUGUAUGUGUGUAAAAUGUCUGAACUGAGAACAAAUUUUGAACACUUCUUGUUCCAACAUACCCACAUGUAGUUGGUAGUGUUACUUAAAGUAUGCAAGUCCAAAUAAAAGCUGCGAUGUUUAGGUUAACAAAUACAAUGAAAGUUCAUAAGGAUAUUUUCUUUUUCUUGCAUCCAAUCAUGAUUAAGUGAUGAGCCCUGUUACCCGUCCACUAAAAGGUAUGAACAAAGAUUUAUGACACCUUUAC
Long non-coding RNA from Oreochromis niloticus (Nile tilapia), 2518 nucleotides. The record is from Ensembl. NCBI's taxonomy places the organism in Eukaryota, Metazoa, Chordata, Actinopteri, Cichliformes, Cichlidae.